This 466-nucleotide ribosomal RNA is filed under the name uncultured bacterium. Its description in RNAcentral is "partial 16S ribosomal RNA". It matches the Rfam family "Bacterial small subunit ribosomal RNA", at positions 28 to 507 of the family's 1533-position model. The record is from RNAcentral.
GAUGAACGCUGGCGGCGUGCUUAACACAUGCAAGUCGAACGAUGAAGCCCAGCUUGCUGGGUGGAUUAGUGGCGAACGGGUGAGUAACACGUGAGUAACCUGCCCUUGACUCUGGGAUAAGCGCUGGAAACGGCGUCUAAUACCGGAUACGAGCUUCCACCGCAUGGUGAGUUGCUGGAAAGAAUUUCGGUCAAGGAUGGACUCGCGGCCUAUCAGGUAGUUGGUGAGGUAACGGCUCACCAAGCCGACGACGGGUAGCCGGCCUGAGAGGGUGACCGGCCACACGGGGAGAGAAACACGGCACAGACCCCGACGGGAGGCAGCAGGGGGGAAUAUGGCACAAUGGGCGCAAGCUUGAUGCAGAAACGCGGCGGGGGGGAGGAAGGCCUGCGGGUCUUAAACCACUUUUAGCAGGGAAGAAGCGAAAGUGACGGGACGUGAAGAAAAAGCACCGCCUAAUUACGUG